Eriocheir sinensis (Chinese mitten crab) is the source of this 1512-nucleotide long non-coding RNA. RefSeq lists it as uncharacterized. The record is from RefSeq and is a predicted model, not a curated record. Lineage: Eukaryota; Metazoa; Arthropoda; Malacostraca; Decapoda; Varunidae. The transcript is spliced from 7 exons.
GCGAGCGCUAUCGUUCCGUGCAGUUCAAGAGCUUGUCGGUCUAUAAAUAACAAUGACGAAAAGAAUGACACGAACACUGGCGAGGGAGAAAGCAUAAACAAGACUGAUGAUGAUGAUGAUUACGAUGAUGAUGUAUGGUGUCAAUAACGGGGUAACAAAACAAGAACAAUGAGAGUUAGCUUGAAAUAAUAAUAAUGAGAGCAAAGAAACACUAAUAGCAAUGACAAUAAAUAGCAACAAGGAGAGAGGAAGCAUAAACAAGACCGCAAUGACGAGGAUGACAAUUUCUACAUUUUUUACGGGAUCACAAAACCAAUACAACACUGAAACUUUCCUUGGACUAAUAAAAUAACAGUAAUAAUAACAAUAACCAUGAAUAAAGCAACGAUAGUAACGCCAAAUAACAACGAUAGAGGAAAUAGUAACUUAAUUUAAAGCCGAAACGUGUCCUCCUCCUAAUUUUCUUCCUUCUCACAUUUUUCAUCAACAUCCUCGUCAUCAUCUCCUCCUCCUCCUCCUCCAUUUUCUUCACCUCCAUCCUACAGCAAAAACCUAAUAAUAACAAUAAAGGCAAUGGUAACUUGAGUUAGAGCCGAAACGUGUCCUCCUCCUAAUAAUCCAAUUCCUACAACUCCCAUUUUUCAUCAACAUCCCCUCCUCUUCCUCCUUCUUCACCUCCUACAUACAGCAAGAACCUAAUAAUAACGAUAGACAAUAGUUACUUAAUUUAGAGCCGAAACGAACUCACAAGGCGGGAAAAAUAGGCGGAGUUUGGCGGGAAAAAAAACAGUUACCCUUUGGCAGUGAUACGGGGAGGUACGCCGCUUUGUUUCUCCGCGCGUGAUAUAUUACCUACUAAACCCGUGACCUUGGGGCGUAUCUUUCCUUUAUUCCACGCCGUUCGUAAAGGGAGGAAGGGAAGGGAGGCGUCACGUGACCUUGCAACGCCCCAUACACAGAGGCCGCUGAAGGUGGGAGCCGAGCUGCGCUGAGCCGAGCUAAGAUGAGCUCAGCCGAACAAUGGUAGUCGGAUGUCACUGCCCCUUCUGCCUCGUCCUGCCCCGCUUCAGUGUGCCCGGGGGUCGGUGAAGGGCGCCGUUGGUUGGCCCGCCCGUCACCGUUGGAAGCCUGAGGGCUGAUUAGCGGCGUGAUUGGGAGGCGCGGGAGCAAUUAGGUCCGCCCAGGUGACUGACGCCCCCCCCCCACCUCACCUGUACCUGGGCCUCCGUGAAUCCGUCGUUAAGUCCAGCGGGUGUGAGCGACGAGGCAGCCCGGCACGCAGCCCUGAGUCCCGGCGGCCCGCAGCGACGCCCCCGCCAGCGGCACGCCCACCGCCGAGAGGCCCCAAACACCCAUUGUGGACACGGCCGCCGCUGGAAUGAAUCUCUAAUGGGCCUUGUGUGUCGCCCGCCCGGGAGGGACACCAACAGCCACCCCCUCCGAAACACUGCUCUCCGCCCCGUCGCUCCUCUGAUGGAUGUCCUCUCCCCCCUACCGCCGCCGCCGCCGCCA